GCACAUAUUUAAUGGCACACUUGGUUUGUCUCUGAUAUGCCCAGUUUUUGUCCGAAUGGAGGCAGGGCUUUCUUUCCUGUAUGCUUCCCUUUCUGAAAAGCUAUCUACUUUCAAUAGCAUUCCAUCUCUAAUGGCAUGGCAUGUCCCCCUGUGCUUUCCACUCUCUUGUUGUUCUGCAUUGUAUCUGCUUGUGCCCUUGAGCUCUCAACCCCCCUGAGCAAGGAAUUCCAUUCUCUGCCUGCCUCUAUUUAUUGCAAGGCACUCUGCACAUUGUUCUGGAACUCUAUAAAUGACAAAAAUGCACAUAAGAAACUCAAGAGAUGGGAGGAGAUCAUCCCAGGAAAGAUGGUUUGUUCACUUGAUUACUUCCCGGGAGAAACGUGGUUCUUUUGCACGUAUCGCUGA
This 405-nucleotide long non-coding RNA is filed under the name Podarcis muralis (Common wall lizard). RNAcentral's name for it is "lncRNA (ENSPMRG00000002353.1)". Lineage: Eukaryota; Metazoa; Chordata; Lepidosauria; Squamata; Lacertidae. The record is from RNAcentral.